Molecule: ribosomal RNA, 240 nt
Filed under: uncultured bacterium
Lineage: Bacteria
Description: partial 16S ribosomal RNA
Rfam family: Bacterial small subunit ribosomal RNA
Source: RNAcentral
AGCGUUGCUCGGAAUCACUGGGCGUAAAGCGCACGUAGGCGGAUUGUUAAGUCAGGGGUGAAAUCCUGGAGCUCAACUCCAGAACUGCCUUCGAUACUGAGAGUCUUGAGUCCGGGAGAGGUGAGUGGAACUGCGAGUGUAGAGGUGAAAUUCGUAGAUAUUCGCAAGAACACCAGUGGCGAGGGCGGCUCACUGGCCCGGUACUGACGCUGAGGUGCGAAAGCGUGGGAAGCAAACAGG